GACGAACGCUGGCGGCGUGCUUAACACAUGCCAGUCGAACGGAAAGGCCUGCUUUCCCUUGUGGAUUGCGGGUACUCGAGUGGCGAACGGGUGAGUAACACGUGAGUGAUCUGCCCCCAACUUGGGUAUAAGCCUGGGAACCUGGGUCUAAUUCCCGAUAGGACUGCAGGGUGGUGCCUUUGGUGGAAAACGAUUUUCUAGUGGUUGGGGAUGAGCUCGCGGCCUAUCAGCUUGUUGGUGGGGUAAUGGCCUACCAAGGCGGCGACGGGUAGCCGGCCUGGGAGGGUGGACGGCGACAUUGGGACUGAGAUACGGCCCAGACUGCUACGGGAGGCAGCAGUGGGGAAUAAUGGACAAUGGGCGGAAGCCUGAGGCAGCGACGCCGCGUGGGGGAUGACGGCCUUCGGGCUGUAAACUCCUUGCGACCGCGAGGAAGCCACCUGGUUGGAAGGGUGGUGACGGUAGUGGGAGAAGAAGCACCGGCUAACUACGUG
This 494-nucleotide ribosomal RNA is filed under the name uncultured bacterium. RNAcentral's name for it is "partial 16S ribosomal RNA". It matches the Rfam family "Bacterial small subunit ribosomal RNA", at positions 28 to 507 of the family's 1533-position model. The record is from RNAcentral.